RNAcentral lists this ribosomal RNA (382 nucleotides) under uncultured Anaerolineaceae bacterium. RNAcentral's name for it is "bacterial SSU rRNA". It matches the Rfam family "Bacterial small subunit ribosomal RNA", at positions 986 to 1382 of the family's 1533-position model. The record is from RNAcentral. Lineage: Bacteria; Bacillati; Chloroflexota; Anaerolineae; Anaerolineales; Anaerolineaceae.
AUACAAGUGGUAGAGAAGCGAAAGCGGAUCGACCUUCGGGAGCUUGUACAGGUGCUGCAUGGCUGUCGUCAGCUCGUGUCGUGAGAUGUUCGGUUAAGUCCGCUAACGAGCGCAACCCUCGCUGUGUGUUACAAGUGUCACACGGAACUGCCGGUCAUAAACCGGAGGAAGGUGGGGAUGACGUCAAGUCAGCAUGGCCUUUAUAUCCAGGGCUACACACACGCUACAAUGGUCUGUACAAUGGGUAGCCAAGCCGCGAGGCGGAGCCAAUCCUGAAAAGCAGGCCUCAGUUCAGAUUGCAGUCUGCAACUCGACUGCAUGAAGCCGGAGUUGCUAGUAACCGCAGGUCAGCAAUACUGCGGUGAAUACGUUCCCGGGUCUU